GACGAACGCUGGCGGCGCGCUUAACACAUGCAAGUCGAACGGAAAGGCCUGCUUUCCCUUGUGGAUUGCGGGUACUCGAGUGGCGAACGGGUGAGUAACACGUGAGUGAUCUGCCCCCAACUUGGGUAUAAGCCUGGGAAACUGGGUCUAAUUCCCGAUAGGACUGCAGGGUGGUGCCUGUGGUGGAAAACGAUUUUCUAGUGGUUGGUGAUGAGCUCGCGGCCUAUCAGCUUGUUGGUGGGGUAAUGGCCUACCAAGGCGGCGACGGGUAGCCGGCCUGAGAGGGUGGACGGCCACAUUGGGACUGAGAUACGGCCCAGACUCCUACGGGAGGCAGCAGUGGGGAAUAUUGCACAAUGGGCGGAAGCCUGAUGCAGCGACGCCGCGUGGGGGAUGACGGCCUUCGGGUUGUAAACCCCUUUCGACCGCGAGGAAGCCACCUGGUUGGAAGGGUGGUGACGGUAGUGGUAGAAGAAGCACCGGCUAACUACGUG
RNAcentral lists this ribosomal RNA (494 nucleotides) under uncultured bacterium. RNAcentral's name for it is "partial 16S ribosomal RNA". It matches the Rfam family "Bacterial small subunit ribosomal RNA", at positions 28 to 507 of the family's 1533-position model. The record is from RNAcentral.